Molecule: long non-coding RNA, 664 nt
Filed under: Vigna radiata
Lineage: Eukaryota; Viridiplantae; Streptophyta; Magnoliopsida; Fabales; Fabaceae
Description: long non-coding RNA (VRAD_LNC000152)
Source: RNAcentral
UCUUUCAAAAUCGAUUUUCUCAAGUUAAAAUUAAGAUGGUUUUGGAACAUAUUCUAUUUAAGUUCAUUGAGUCAUUUAAUGUUCAUUAAUCCCCCUUCAAAGUUUAUAUUUAGUUAGCUAGAGAUAGGAUAGGACGAAACCAUUUUCCUCCAAAGGUAGGUUAAGGGCGGUUGAGUAAUAAUACUGUUGCAAAUUUGAUUAGACUCAAAGAAAAACCGACUGAUGCAAUUUUAAUUCUGUUCAAACUGCAUAAUUUAUUCAGAUACUGAAACGGCUUUAUAAGUCUUUACAAAAAGAAGCUGACUAACAAAUAGUGUGCAUAGGGGACGAAAAGAUAACAAAUAGUCUUGAUAUGACAGAUUUUGGAAGGAUGCCAUACUUUUUGGGAAUUGAAGUUAUACAAAAUGAAGCAGGCAUCUUCAUCUGCCAACGAAGGUAUGCACAUGAGGUACUAGCUCGAUUCAAUAUGUUAGACAACGUUUAACCCUUAUUGUACCUUGAUACUUCUACUGCAUGGACCUUCAGAUUGCUUGUGACAUAUUUUUCGAUCAAUUGCCUGGAACAGGAAAUUCUUCACCUUUAGAUCCUGAAGAUGUGUGUCUGCUACAGCUUUCCUUUGAGCCUCAGUUGGUGCCGCGUUCAGCGUUGGAAUUUCGUCUUCCAC